CGGAGGAUGCAAGCGUUAUCCGGAUUCAUUGGGUUUAAAGGGUGCGUAGGCGGCUUUUUAAGUCAGUGGUGAAAUCCUGCCGCUUAACGGUAGAAUUGCCAUUGAUACUGAAGAGCUUGAGUACAGUUGAGGUAAGCGGAAUGUGUAGUGUAGCGGUGAAAUGCUUAGAUAUUACACAGAACACCAAUUGCGAAGGCAGCUUACUAAACUGUCACUGACGCUGAUGCACGAAAGCGUGGGGAGCGAACAGGAUUAGAUACCCUGGUAGUCCACGCCGUAAACGAUGAUCACUCGCUGUAUGCGAUACACAGUAUGCAGCCAAGCGAAAGCAUUAAGUGAUCCACCUGGGGAGUACGAUCGCAAGGUUG
RNAcentral lists this ribosomal RNA (368 nucleotides) under uncultured organism. Its description in RNAcentral is "bacterial SSU rRNA". It matches the Rfam family "Bacterial small subunit ribosomal RNA", at positions 526 to 896 of the family's 1533-position model. The record is from RNAcentral.